UCCGCGACAGUGUAUUCAUCUGACUGUAAUGGUUUAUAUGGGAAAGAUCAGCUUGAGUACUGGGAAAUGGAUAUCCAGAUCUCAUCAUGGUUUGUACCUGCAUACCUGCAAUCUUCCUACCGUCAUCAUCCAUUUCUAUAUGGUUUUUACUGCUUAAUUAGACUCAGACUUAUACAUACCUGCAGCUACAGGUUCUUUACCACUCUGCAUGGACUGAUGACAAGUCUGGAGGUUUGAUAGUUGGGGAUUUACUACGAUCAAUUGUGGUUCAAUUUCCUCUGUUGAUUGUAUUUCCCAAGGGGGGAGGGGUAAAGCUUCUUCAGUCUGUUCAAUAUUUAUGCCUGCAUAAUAUCAAGAAAAAUACCAACUAUGUAUUAAACAAUAAGAAGCAAUUUUUUGUUUUUUUUUGUUUUGCCACAGCUAAACCUACAAAUGGCUAAUAUAUCAUUUUACACGAACACUUUACAGACUUACGGCCAAACCUAAUAUAUGAUGGAGUAAGCAGUAACACCUCGAAAAUCACACUUUCUGGCAUGGAUUGGGUAUAUUUUAAUCUAACAAUUGAUUCUCUAUUAAAAUCUAUUAUAUUUUAAUGCAUGGACGUCAUGAUGUUGCGCAGUUAAAUAGGGACAUGAGUCAAUGAACUCUAUCUGUCACUUGUCAGGGACUCAGGACAUAUAUACUAUAAAAUUAUUGGCAAUAAUAAAUAGGUGGAUUGUGUAUUUAUCUAUUUCAAGGAGGAUAUGAAGAUUUCUGCCUUCUGUCCUGAUUGGUAAUUUCACUAAUUUGGUAUGUGGAAUAUGGUAUGCUGCCUGAUAACAAUAUUUUUACCAUUCAAAAAACAAUAUUGCGACAACAAGGAUAGCUUGAUAAAUGUAAGAUGAUAUUGUGCAUUUGUUCAUGUUUGAGAUUAUGAGGAAUGAAGGUUUAAUGGUUUAACAUGUGAACAGAUAAA
RNAcentral lists this long non-coding RNA (955 nucleotides) under Zostera marina. RNAcentral describes it as "long non-coding RNA (ZMAR_LNC006160)". The record is from RNAcentral. Lineage: Eukaryota; Viridiplantae; Streptophyta; Magnoliopsida; Alismatales; Zosteraceae.